This 473-nucleotide ribosomal RNA is filed under the name uncultured bacterium. RNAcentral describes it as "bacterial SSU rRNA". It matches the Rfam family "Bacterial small subunit ribosomal RNA", at positions 335 to 799 of the family's 1533-position model. The record is from RNAcentral.
ACUCCUACGGGAGGCAGCAGUGGGGAAUAUUGCACAAUGGGCGCAAGCCUGAUGCAGCCAUGCCGCGUGUAUGAAGAAGGCCUUCGGGUUGUAAAGUACUUUCAGCAGUGAGGAAGGUGGUGUCGUUAAUAGCGGCAUCAUUUGACGUUAGCUGCAGAAGAAGCACCGGCUAACUCCGUGCCAGCAGCCGCGGUAAUACGGAGGGUGCGAGCGUUAAUCGGAAUUACUGGGCGUAAAGCGCAUGCAGGUGGUUUGUUAAGUCAGAUGUGAAAGCCCGGGGCUCAACCUCGGAAUUGCAUUUGAAACUGGCAGACUAGAGUACUGUAGAGGGGGGUAGAAUUUCAGGUGUAGCGGUGAAAUGCGUAGAGAUCUGAAGGAAUACCAGUGGCGAAGGCGGCCCCCUGGACAAAGACUGACGCUCAGAUGCGAAAGCGUGGGGAGCAAACAGGAUUAGAUACCCUGGUAGGAAAGCG